RNAcentral lists this ribosomal RNA (506 nucleotides) under uncultured bacterium. Its description in RNAcentral is "partial 16S ribosomal RNA". It matches the Rfam family "Bacterial small subunit ribosomal RNA", at positions 28 to 523 of the family's 1533-position model. The record is from RNAcentral.
GAUGAACGCUAGCUACAGGCUUAACACAUGCAAGUCGAGGGGUAACGAGAGGAAAGCUUGCUUUCCUUGUCGACGACCGGCGCACGGGUGAGUAACGCGUAUCCAACCUGCCCCCAACUAGGGAAUAACCUUGCGAAAGUAAGACUAAUACCCUAUAAUUUCCUCAGAUGUCAUCUGACGAGGAAUAAAGAUUUAUCGGUUGUGGAUGGGGCUGCGUCUGAUUAGCUUGUUGGCGGGGUAACGGCCCACCAAGGCAACGAUCAGUAGGGGUUCUGAAGGGAAGGUGCCCAACAUUGGAACUGCAACACGUUCCACACACCUACGGGAGGCAGCAGUGAGGAAUAUUGGUCAAUGGGCGGAAGCCUGAACCAGCCAAGUAGCGUGCAGGAUGACGGCCCUAUGGGUUGUGAACUGCUUUUAUACAGGAAUAAAGUUAGCCACGUGUGGUUAUUUGUAGGUACUGUAUGAAUAAGGACCGGCUAAUUCCGUGCCAGCCGCCGCAGUAA